UUUCCCGACCAUUUUCAGUUAUUUGAAAAAAGAUUAUACUCCGUGUCUUCCUCUGAAAUCGCACUGAGCGCAGAGAUGCUCUGUCGUUUUUAUUAGUAACCAUUAUCAUCGACUCAUCUAAUAGCCUUUGGUUUCUGCAUUCUCCACGAAACUUCUUCCACCUUGUAGUAGGCUAUCUCUCCCACUUUCUCAAACUUCCUCACUACCCGUUUUCUUUCAUUUAUACUGAGCUUUUAUUUUUUAGGGUUUCAAUGUGUUUGUUCUAUGAAUCUUUUUUUUUUUGUUCGUCCACAGCUGAAAUAACUUCUAUUUUGUUGUAGGUUCUUCAAUAUUAUCUACUAAACUGAUUUUUUUUUCCAUAGAUUUAUAAGCAAUCUCUUGGGAUGACGAAGAAGAAACUGAUAACCAAUGGGAUUUUAAGUGGGGUAAACUUAAGGAGAAAUCACACAACAAUGUUCAUCUUUACGAAUCAUUUACUUUCGAAGGGGUUGAAUAUUUUCUCUAUGAUUGUGUUUAUUUGCAACCACCAGAUGAUUCAGAGGCUCCUUACAUAGGGAAGAUUGUCAAGAUUAUGGAUCAUCCAAGCUAUAGGAGGAAAGUUAAGAUAAUAUGGUUUUUUCGGCCUUCUGAUUUACCAAAUUGGCUUCGAAUCCGAGAGAUUACUUACCUUGUGCACGAGAUAUUCUUAGCGUCUGGGAAAGGUUCAGGCGUUGCCAACAUCAAUCCUGUGGAAGCAAUUUUGGGGAAAUGCAUUGUGAUUUGCACAUCAGAGGACAAAAGAAACCCACAACCUUCUAAUCAAGAACUAAGCACGGCUGAUUUUGUGUUCUCCCGCACAUUUGAUGUUCACGAAUGCACUUUUUCGGAUCAACUGGAUAACAAUAUAUUCGAAAUUGCAGUCGAGCACUUUUUUAAUAAUAAAGAGUACUCAAAGCUGAGCAGAUAUCAGGAAUCCAAAGAAGUAGAGAACCCCAAAUCUAGUGGUCCUGCUAUGGACAAGAUAAAGGCUGCUACUAUCCUCCAAACUAAAGAGGCUAAGCUGAAACCUGUUGAAGGUUUAGUGUAUCAUUCGGGCCCAUUUCAGAGUGGUUCUUUUGAGGAAAAUGUUAGGCUUGGUGAUUUGCGGAAACCACCUUCGCUUUCCUCUCCUCCAUUACAAGGCGGAGAAGUUAUGGGUAAUGCAGCGGGGGCACGAAAGCCAAGAAUGAGAUGCAAGGAUCCUGCAAUCUUACAUGUAAGACAUGACCAGCCAGUUGGCCUGGACAGAAUUAAAGCAAAUCCUGAAUUGGCACAAGGGGAUGAUAUGCAACUCGAUUUUCAACAUAAGAAGACAAAAGUAACAGCAGCGGAGUCUUUUCAACCAGCUAAUCGAGGGAUCUUAAGUAGCACGAACCUAAACAGAGGGAUCUUAAGUAGCACGGGCCUAAAUAAACUUACCAAGUUUACUGAUAAAGAAGUUGCUCUUAAACCAGUGCCCAAGAAGCUUACCACAGCUGAUACCUACUACCGUAAGAUGAAAAACUCUCUGAACACCAGAUGUGCCGACAUCAAAGAGCCAAAAAAAGAUUAUAUUCAACACGAUGAAGGGAUCUUCAAUCCUAUAAUUCCUAGUAAGAGACCAACCAAAUUUCCAGAUAGAGAAGUUGCUCCUGAAAAGAUUAUGCUAUGCAUGAUCAAUUGGCAGAAAAGAGCAGAGCUGAUAUUCAACAUCUCAACAUGAAAAAACCAGACCUGGUUGAAAGAAGAGAAACAGUACGUGCCAAAGAUCUCGGAGAACAUUACAGAGGGAUAACUAGUACUGAGAAUCUUAGUAAUAGAGUGACCAGGCUUCCAAAUGAGGAAGCACCUGAAGCUUCCCAGGUUAAGAGAAUGUUCUCAAGUGAUAGCCUCACUUCGGAGACCCAGCAAAAGGACAGAAGCAAAUGGUUCAAGCAACUUACAUGGGAGCAAAGAAUGGAUCUUGCCUGUGAGAAAGGAACCCUUGUUCAACUUCAAAACUUGGACCCGUCCUAUGCAUCAGGUGAAAUUGAGGAUAUAGUAAGGACCUAUUUGAACGUAAGGUGCACUGCAAAGGUGUUAGAACAGAGUACAUUCUCUAGCCCUCACAAUGGUCAAGCUCUUU
Papaver somniferum (opium poppy) is the source of this 2122-nucleotide RNA transcript. It is a transcript of the gene named protein ANTI-SILENCING 1-like, with no coding region annotated. NCBI's taxonomy places the organism in Eukaryota, Viridiplantae, Streptophyta, Magnoliopsida, Ranunculales, Papaveraceae. The transcript is spliced from 8 exons. The record is from RefSeq and is a predicted model, not a curated record.